Molecule: ribosomal RNA, 725 nt
Filed under: Salmonella enterica
Lineage: Bacteria; Pseudomonadati; Pseudomonadota; Gammaproteobacteria; Enterobacterales; Enterobacteriaceae
Description: partial 23S ribosomal RNA
Rfam family: Bacterial large subunit ribosomal RNA
Source: RNAcentral
UUUAAUGUUUGAUGUUCUAACGUGGACCCGUUACCCGGGUUGCGGACAGUGUCUGGUGGGUAGUUUGACUGGGGCGGUCUCCUCCUAAAGAGUAACGGAGGAGCACGAAGGUUGGCUAAUCCUGGUCGGACAUCAGGAGGUUAGUGCAAUGGCAUAAGCCAGCUUGACUGCGAGCGUGACGGCGCGAGCAGGUGCGAAAGCAGGUCAUAGUGAUCCGGUGGUUCUGAAUGGAAGGGCCAUCGCUCAACGGAUAAAAGGUACUCCGGGGAUAACAGGCUGAUACCGCCCAAGAGUUCAUAUCGACGGCGGUGUUUGGCACCUCGAUGUCGGCUCAUCACAUCCUGGGGCUGAAGUAGGUCCCAAGGGUAUGGCUGUUCGCCAUUUAAAGUGGUACGCGAGCUGGGUUUAGAACGUCGUGAGACAGUUCGGUCCCUAUCUGCCGUGGGCGCUGGAGAACUGAGGGGGGCUGCUCCUAGUACGAGAGGACCGGAGUGGACGCAUCACUGGUGUUCGGGUUGUCAUGCCAAUGGCACUGCCCGGUAGCUAAAUGCGGAAGAGAUAAGUGCUGAAAGCAUCUAAGCACGAAACUUGCCCCGAGAUGAGUUCUCCCUGAGACUUAGAGUCUCCUGAAGGAACGUUGAAGACGACGACGUUGAUAGGCCGGGUGUGUAAGCGCAGCGAUGCGUUGAGCUAACCGGUACUAAUGAACCGUGAGGCUUAACCUU